Molecule: ribosomal RNA, 1500 nt
Filed under: metagenome
Description: bacterial SSU rRNA
Rfam family: Bacterial small subunit ribosomal RNA
Source: RNAcentral
AGAGUUUGAUCAUGGCUCAGAUUGAACGCUGGCGGCAGGCCUAACACAUGCAAGUCGAACGGUAACAGGAAGCAGCUUGCUGCUUCGCUGACGAGUGGCGGACGGGUGAGUAAUGUCUGGGAAGCUGCCUGAUGGAGGGGGAUAACUACUGGAAACGGUAGCUAAUACCGCAUAAUGUCGCAAGACCAAAGAGGGGGACCUUCGGGCCUCUUGCCAUCGGAUGUGCCCAGAUGGGAUUAGCUUGUUGGUGGGGUAACGGCUCACCAAGGCGACGAUCCCUAGCUGGUCUGAGAGGAUGACCAGCCACACUGGAACUGAGACACGGUCCAGACUCCUACGGGAGGCAGCAGUGGGGAAUAUUGCACAAUGGGCGCAAGCCUGAUGCGGCCAUGCCGCGUGUAUGAAGAAGGCCUUCGGGUUGUAAAGUACUUUCAGCGGGGAGGAAGGGAGUAAAGUUAAUACCUUUGCUCAUUGACGUUACCCGCAGAAGAAGCACCGGCUAACUCCGUGCCAGCAGCCGCGGUAAUACGGAGGGUGCAAGCGUUAAUCGGAAUUACUGGGCGUAAAGCGCACGCAGGCGGUUUGUUAAGUCAGAUGUGAAAUCCCCGGGCUCAACCUGGGAACUGCAUCUGAUACUGGCAAGCUUGAGUCUCGUAGAGGGGGGUAGAAUUCCAGGUGUAGCGGUGAAAUGCGUAGAGAUCUGGAGGAAUACCGGUGGCGAAGGCGGCCCCCUGGACGAAGACUGACGCUCAGGUGCGAAAGCGUGGGGAGCAAACAGGAUUAGAUACCCUGGUAGUCCACGCCGUAAACGAUGUCGACUUGGAGGUUGUGCCCUUGAGGCGUGGCUUCCGGAGCUAACGCGUUAAGUCGACCGCCUGGGGAGUACGGCCGCAAGGUUAAAACUCAAAUGAAUUGACGGGGGCCCGCACAAGCGGUGGAGCAUGUGGUUUAAUUCGAUGCAACGCGAAGAACCUUACCUGGUCUUGACAUCCACGGAAGUUUUCAGAGAUGAGAAUGUGCCUUCGGGAACCGUGAGACAGGUGCUGCAUGGCUGUCGUCAGCUCGUGUUGUGAAAUGUUGGGUUAAGUCCCGCAACGAGCGCAACCCUUAUCCUUUGUUGCCAGCGGUCCGGCCGGGAACUCAAAGGAGACUGCCAGUGAUAAACUGGAGGAAGGUGGGGAUGACGUCAAGUCAUCAUGGCCCUUACGACCAGGGCUACACACGUGCUACAAUGGCGCAUACAAAGAGAAGCGACCUCGCGAGAGCAAGCGGACCUCAUAAAGUGCGUCGUAGUCCGGAUUGGAGUCUGCAACUCGACUCCAUGAAGUCGGAAUCGCUAGUAAUCGUGGAUCAGAAUGCCACGGUGAAUACGUUCCCGGGCCUUGUACACACCGCCCGUCACACCAUGGGAGUGGGUUGCAAAAGAAGUAGGUAGCUUAACCUUCGGGAGGGCGCUUACCACUUUGUGAUUCAUGACUGGGGUGAAGUCGUAACAAGGUA